This 442-nucleotide ribosomal RNA is filed under the name uncultured bacterium. Its description in RNAcentral is "partial 16S ribosomal RNA". It matches the Rfam family "Bacterial small subunit ribosomal RNA", at positions 338 to 795 of the family's 1533-position model. The record is from RNAcentral.
CCUACGGGAGGCAGCAGUGGGGAAUAUUGGGCAAUGGAGGCAACUCUUACCCAGCAAUGCCGCGUGAAUGAAGAAGGUCUUCGGAUUGUAAAGUUCUUUAAUUGGGGACGAAAAAAAUGACGGUACCCAAGGAAUAAGCCCCGGCUAACUACGUGCCAGCAGCCGCGGAAAUACGUCGGGGGCAAGCGUUGUUCGGAAUGACUGGGCGUAAAGGGUGUGUAGGCGGUGUAGAAAGUUAGAAGUGAAAGACCUAGAGCUUAACUCAGGUGCUGCUUCUAAAACUGCUAUACUUGAGUGCAGUAGAUGAGAGUGGGAUUCCUAGUGUAGCUGUGGAAUGCGUAGAUAUUAGGAGGAACAUCAGUGGCGAAGGCGACUUUCUGGACUGUAACUGACGCUGGGGCACGAGAGUGUGGGGAGCAAACAGGAUUAGUACCCGGGUGUC